GCGACCGGCGCACGGGUGCGUAACGCGUAUGCAACCUACCCAUAACAGGGGCAUAACACUGAGAAAUUGGUACUAAUUCCCCAUAACAUUCGAAGAGGCAUCUCUUUGGGUUGAAAACUCCGGUGGUUAUGGAUGGGCAUGCGUUGUAUUAGCUAGUUGGUGAGGUAACGGCUCACCAAGGCGACGAUACAUAGGGGGACUGAGAGGUUAACCCCCCACAUUGGUACUGAGACACGGACCAAACUCCUACGGGAGGCAGCAGUGAGGAAUAUUGGUCAAUGGACGCAAGUCUGAACCAGCCAUGCCGCGUGCAGGAUGACAGCUCUAUGAGUUGUAAACUGCUUUUGUACGAGGGUAAACUCACCUACGUGUAGGUGACUGAAAGUAUCGUACGAAUAAGGAUCGGCUAACUCCGUGCCAGCAGCCGCGGUAAUACGGAGGAUUCAAGCGUUAUCCGGAUUUAUUGGGUUUAAAGGGUGCGUAGGCGGUUAGAUAAGUUAGAGGUGAAAUCCCGGGGCUUAACUCCGAAAUUGCCUCUAAUACUGUUUGACUAGAGAGUAGUUGCGGUAGGCGGAAUGUAUGGUGUAGCGGUGAAAUGCUUAGAGAUCAUACAGAACACCGAUUGCGAAGGCAGCUUACCAAACUAUAUCUGACGUUGAGGCACGAAAGCGUGGGGAGCAAACAGGAUUAGAUACCCUGGUAGUC
RNAcentral lists this ribosomal RNA (705 nucleotides) under uncultured bacterium. RNAcentral describes it as "bacterial SSU rRNA". It matches the Rfam family "Bacterial small subunit ribosomal RNA", at positions 91 to 795 of the family's 1533-position model. The record is from RNAcentral.